RNAcentral lists this ribosomal RNA (478 nucleotides) under uncultured bacterium. RNAcentral's name for it is "partial 16S ribosomal RNA". It matches the Rfam family "Bacterial small subunit ribosomal RNA", at positions 28 to 523 of the family's 1533-position model. The record is from RNAcentral.
GACGAACGCUGGCGGCAUGCCUAACACAUGCAAGUCGAGCGAGUAGAUCCCUUAGGGGUGAAGCUAGCGGCGGACGGGUGAGUAACACGUGGGCAACCUGCCUCAUAGAGGGGAAUAGCCUUCCGAAAGGAAGAUUAACACCGCAUAAGAUUGUAGUACCGCAUGGUAUAGCAGUUAAAGGAGCAAUCCGCUAUGAGAUGGGCCCGCGGCGCAUUAGCUAGUUGGUGAGGUAACGGCUUACCAAGGCGACGAUGCGUAGCCGACCUGAGAGGGUGAUCGGCCACAUUGGGACUGAGACACGGCCCAGACUCCUACGGGAGGCAGCAGUGGGGAAUAUUGCACAAUGGGGGAAACCCUGAUGCAGCAAUGCCGCGUGAGUGAUGACGGCCUUCGGGUUGUAAAGCUCUGUCUUCGGGGACGAUAAUGACGGUACCCGAGGAGGAAGCCACGGCUAACUAUGUGCCAGCCGCCGCAGUAA